UUGAACGCUGGCGGCAUGCUUUACACAUGCAAGUCGAACGGUAGACCCUUUCGGGGGUUGAGAGUGGCGAACGGGUGAGUAAUGCAUCGGAACAUACCCAGUCGUGGGGGAUAACGUAGCGAAAGUUACGCUAAUACCGCAUGAGUCCUGAGGGAGAAAGCGGGGGAUCGCAAGACCUCGCGCGAUUGGAGUGGCCGAUGUCAGAUUAGCUAGUUGGUGGGGUAAAGGCCUACCAAGGCGACGAUCUGUAGCGGGUCUGAGAGGAUGAUCCGCCACACUGGGACUGAGACACGGCCCAGACUCCUACGGGAGGCAGCAGUGGGGAAUUUUGGACAAUGGGCGAAAGCCUGAUCCAGCCAUGCCGCGUGCGGGAAGAAGGCCUUCGGGUUGUAAAGCCCUUUCGACGGGGAGGAAGGCACCGGCGCGAAUAGCGUUGGUGAUUGACGUAACCUGGAGAAGAAGCACCGGCUAACUCCGU
RNAcentral lists this ribosomal RNA (478 nucleotides) under uncultured bacterium. Its description in RNAcentral is "bacterial SSU rRNA". It matches the Rfam family "Bacterial small subunit ribosomal RNA", at positions 29 to 506 of the family's 1533-position model. The record is from RNAcentral.